RNAcentral lists this ribosomal RNA (487 nucleotides) under uncultured bacterium. Its description in RNAcentral is "partial 16S ribosomal RNA". It matches the Rfam family "Bacterial small subunit ribosomal RNA", at positions 28 to 507 of the family's 1533-position model. The record is from RNAcentral.
GAUGAACGCUAGCGAUAGGCUUAACACAUGCAAGUCGAGGGGCAGCACAAGGUAGCUUGCUAUCUGGGUGGCGACCGGCGCACGGGUGCGUAACGCGUAUGCAACUUGCCCUAUACAGGAGGAUAACCCGUCGAAAGACGGACUAAUACUGCGUAUGCUCACAACUUGGCAUCAAGUGGUGAGGAAAGAAAUUCGGUAUAGGAUAGGCAUGCGUCCCAUUAGCUUGUUGGUGAGGUAACGGCUCACCAAGGCAACGAUGGGCAGGGGAACUGAGAGGUUUAUCCCCCACACUGGUACUGAGACACGGACCAGACUCCUACGGGAGGCAGCAGUGAGGAAUAGUGGUCAAUGGGCGCGAGCCUGAACCAGCCAAGUCGCGUGAAGGAUGACUGUCUUAUGGAUUGUAAACUUCUUUUAUACGGGAAUAACAAGAGUCACGUGUGACUCCCUGCAUGUACCGGAUGAAUAAGCAUCGGCUAACUCCGUG